GAUCAUGGCUCAGGACGAACGCUGGCGGCGUGCCUAAUACAUGCAAGUCGAGCGGACAGAAGGGAGCUUGCUCCCGGAAGUCAGCGGCGGACGGGUGAGUAACACGUGGGUAACCUGCCUGUAAGACUGGGAUAACUCCGGGAAACCGGGGCUAAUACCGGAUAACAUCAAGAACCGCAUGGUUCUUGAUUGAAAGGCGGCUUCGGCUGUCACUUACAGAUGGACCCGCGGCGCAUUAGCUAGUUGGUGAGGUAACGGCUCACCAAGGCGACGAUGCGUAGCCGACCUGAGAGGGUGAUCGGCCACACUGGGACUGAGACACGGCCCAGACUCCUACGGGAGGCAGCAGUAGGGAAUCUUCCGCAAUGGACGAAAGUCUGACGGAGCAACGCCGCGUGAGUGAAGAAGGUUUUCGGAUCGUAAAACUCUGUUGUCAGGGAAGAACAAGUACCGGAGUAACUGCCGGUACCUUGACGGUACCUGACCAGAAAGCCACGGCUAACUACGUGCCAGCAGCCGCGGUAAUACGUAGGUGGCAAGCGUUGUCCGGAAUUAUUGGGCGUAAAGCGCGCGCAGGCGGCCUUUUAAGUCUGAUGUGAAAGCCCACGGCUCAACCGUGGAGGGUCAUUGGAAACUGGAAGGCUUGAGUGCAGAAGAGAAGAGCGGAAUUCCACGUGUAGCGGUGAAAUGCGUAGAGAUGUGGAGGAACACCAGUGGCGAAGGCGGCUCUUUGGUCAGUAACUGACGCUGAGGCGCGAAAGCGUGGGGAGCGAACAGGAUUAGAUACCCUGGUAGUCCACGCCGUAAACGAUGAGUGCUAAGUGUUGGGGGGUUUCCGCCCCUCAGUGCUGCAGCUAACGCAUUAAGCACUCCGCCUGGGGAGUACGCCGCAAGCUGAACUCAAGGAAUUGACGGGCCCGCACAGCGGUGGAGCAUGUGGUUUA
RNAcentral lists this ribosomal RNA (944 nucleotides) under uncultured Bacillus sp. RNAcentral describes it as "bacterial SSU rRNA". It matches the Rfam family "Bacterial small subunit ribosomal RNA", at positions 15 to 948 of the family's 1533-position model. Lineage: Bacteria; Bacillati; Bacillota; Bacilli; Caryophanales; Bacillaceae. The record is from RNAcentral.